RNAcentral lists this ribosomal RNA (2841 nucleotides) under Escherichia coli. RNAcentral describes it as "partial 23S ribosomal RNA". It matches the Rfam family "Bacterial large subunit ribosomal RNA". Lineage: Bacteria; Pseudomonadati; Pseudomonadota; Gammaproteobacteria; Enterobacterales; Enterobacteriaceae. The record is from RNAcentral.
GACGUGCUAAUCUGCGAUAAGCGUCGGUGAGGUGAUAUGAACCGUUAUAACCGGCGAUUUCCGAAUGGGGAAACCCAGUGUGUUUCGACACACUAUCAUUAACUGAAUCCAUAGGUUAAUGAGGCGAACCGGGGGAACUGAAACAUCUAAGUACCCCGAGGAAAAGAAAUCAACCGAGAUUCCCCCAGUAGCGGCGAGCGAACGGGGAGGAGCCCAGAGCCUGAAUCAGUGUGUGUGUUAGUGGAAGCGUCUGGAAAGGCGCGCGAUACAGGGUGACAGCCCCGUACACAAAAAUGCACAUAUUGUGAGCUCGAUGAGUAGGGCGGGACACGUGGUAUCCUGUCUGAAUAUGGGGGGACCAUCCUCCAAGGCUAAAUACUCCUGACUGACCGAUAGUGAACCAGUACCGUGAGGGAAAGGCGAAAAGAACCCCGGCGAGGGGAGUGAAAAAGAACCUGAAACCGUGUACGUACAAGCAGUGGGAGCCUCUUUAUGGGGUGACUGCGUACCUUUUGUAUAAUGGGUCAGCGACUUAUAUUCUGUAGCAAGGUUAACCGAAUAGGGGAGCCGAAGGGAAACCGAGUCUUAACUGGGCGUUAAGUUGCAGGGUAUAGACCCGAAACCCGGUGAUCUAGCCAUGGGCAGGUUGAAGGUUGGGUAACACUAACUGGAGGACCGAACCGACUAAUGUUGAAAAAUUAGCGGAUGACUUGUGGCUGGGGGUGAAAGGCCAAUCAAACCGGGAGAUAGCUGGUUCUCCCCGAAAGCUAUUUAGGUAGCGCCUCGUGAAUUCAUCUCCGGGGGUAGAGCACUGUUUCGGCAAGGGGGUCAUCCCGACUUACCAACCCGAUGCAAACUGCGAAUACCGGAGAAUGUUAUCACGGGAGACACACGGCGGGUGCUAACGUCCGUCGUGAAGAGGGAAACAACCCAGACCGCCAGCUAAGGUCCCAAAGUCAUGGUUAAGUGGGAAACGAUGUGGGAAGGCCCAGACAGCCAGGAUGUUGGCUUAGAAGCAGCCAUCAUUUAAAGAAAGCGUAAUAGCUCACUGGUCGAGUCGGCCUGCGCGGAAGAUGUAACGGGGCUAAACCAUGCACCGAAGCUGCGGCAGCGACACUAUGUGUUGUUGGGUAGGGGAGCGUUCUGUAAGCCUGUGAAGGUGGCCUGUGAGGGUUGCUGGAGGUAUCAGAAGUGCGAAUGCUGACAUAAGUAACGAUAAAGCGGGUGAAAAGCCCGCUCGCCGGAAGACCAAGGGUUCCUGUCCAACGUUAAUCGGGGCAGGGUGAGUCGACCCCUAAGGCGAGGCCGAAAGGCGUAGUCGAUGGGAAACAGGUUAAUAUUCCUGUACUUGGUGUUACUGCGAAGGGGGGACGGAGAAGGCUAUGUUGGCCGGGCGACGGUUGUCCCGGUUUAAGCGUGUAGGCUGGUUUUCCAGGCAAAUCCGGAAAACCAAGGCUGAGGCGUGAUGACGAGGCACUACGGUGCUGAAGCGACAAAUGCCCUGCUUCCAGGAAAAGCCUCUAAGCAUCAGGUAACAUCAAAUCGUACCCCAAACCGACACAGGUGGUCAGGUAGAGAAUACCAAGGCGCUUGAGAGAACUCGGGUGAAGGAACUAGGCAAAAUGGUGCCGUAACUUCGGGAGAAGGCACGCUGAUAUGUAGGUGAAGCGACUUGCUCGUGGAGCUGAAAUCAGUCGAAGAUACCAGCUGGCUGCAACUGUUUAUUAAAAACACAGCACUGUGCAAACACGAAAGUGGACGUAUACGGUGUGACGCCUGCCCGGUGCCGGAAGGUUAAUUGAUGGGGUUAGCGGUAACGCGAAGCUCUUGAUCGAAGCCCCGGUAAACGGCGGCCGUAACUAUAACGGUCCUAAGGUAGCGAAAUUCCUUGUCGGGUAAGUUCCGACCUGCACGAAUGGCGUAAUGAUGGCCAGGCUGUCUCCACCCGAGACUCAGUGAAAUUGAACUCGCUGUGAAGAUGCAGUGUACCCGCGGCAAGACGGAAAGACCCCGUGAACCUUUACUAUAGCUUGACACUGAACAUUGAGCCUUGAUGUGUAGGAUAGGUGGGAGGCUUUGAAGUGUGGACGCCAGUCUGCAUGGAGCCGACCUUGAAAUACCACCCUUUAAUGUUUGAUGUUCUAACGUUGGCCCGUAAUCCGGGUUGCGGACAGUGUCUGGUGGGUAGUUUGACUGGGGCGGUCUCCUCCUAAAGAGUAACGGAGGAGCACGAAGGUUGGCUAAUCCUGGUCGGACAUCAGGAGGUUAGUGCAAUGGCAUAAGCCAGCUUGACUGCGAGCGUGACGGCGCGAGCAGGUGCGAAAGCAGGUCAUAGUGAUCCGGUGGUUCUGAAUGGAAGGGCCAUCGCUCAACGGAUAAAAGGUACUCCGGGGAUAACAGGCUGAUACCGCCCAAGAGUUCAUAUCGACGGCGGUGUUUGGCACCUCGAUGUCGGCUCAUCACAUCCUGGGGCUGAAGUAGGUCCCAAGGGUAUGGCUGUUCGCCAUUUAAAGUGGUACGCGAGCUGGGUUUAGAACGUCGUGAGACAGUUCGGUCCCUAUCUGCCGUGGGCGCUGGAGAACUGAGGGGGGCUGCUCCUAGUACGAGAGGACCGGAGUGGACGCAUCACUGGUGUUCGGGUUGUCAUGCCAAUGGCACUGCCCGGUAGCUAAAUGCGGAAGAGAUAAGUGCUGAAAGCAUCUAAGCACGAAACUUGCCCCGAGAUGAGUUCUCCCUGAGACUUAGAGUCUCCUGAAGGAACGUUGAAGACGACGACGUUGAUAGGCCGGGUGUGUAAGCGCAGCGAUGCGUUGAGCUAACCGGUACUAAUGAACCGUGAGG